UUGCAGUUAAAAAGCUCGUAGUUGAAUUUCUAGUUAGUUGCUAUUCGGUCUCCAGAUCAGUAGCAGUUAGCUAUCCGACACUGAACUAUGACGGUUAUUAAGUUAACCCCAUAGCGAAUUGUCAUUUUACUUUGAAAAAAUUAGAGUGUUUCAGGCAGGCAAUUGCCCGAAUAUCUUAGCAUGGAAUAAUGGAAUAGGACUUUGGUUCAUUUGAUUGGUUAUUGAAUCAGAGUAAUGAUUAAUAGGGACAGUUGGGGGCAUUAGUAUUUAAUUGUCAGAGGUGAAAUUCUUGGAUUUAUUAAAGACUAACUUAUGCGAAAGCAUUUGCCAAGGAUGUUUUCAUUAAUCAAGAACGAAAGUUAGGGGAUCAAAGACGAUCAGAUACCGUCCUAGUCUUAACUAUAAACUAUACCGACUCGGGAUUGGCCGUGUCUCAACUCGGUCAGCACUGUAUGAGAAAUUAAAGUCUUUGGGUUCUGGGGGGAGUAUGGUCGCAAGGCUGAAACUUAAAGGAAUUGACGGAAGGGCACCACCAGGAGUGGAGCCUGCGGCUUAAUUUGACUCAACACGGGGAAUCUUACCAAGGCCAAACAGAGGUGGGAUUGACAGAUUGAGAGCUCUUUCUUGAUUCUUUGGGUGGUGGUGCAUGGCC
RNAcentral lists this ribosomal RNA (652 nucleotides) under uncultured marine eukaryote. Its description in RNAcentral is "SSU rRNA". It matches the Rfam family "Eukaryotic small subunit ribosomal RNA", at positions 613 to 1289 of the family's 1831-position model. The record is from RNAcentral.